This 134-nucleotide small RNA is filed under the name Salmonella enterica. RNAcentral's name for it is "RtT sRNA". It matches the Rfam family "RtT RNA". From Rfam's summary of the family: This family represents a bacterial cis-regulatory element known as RtT RNA. The exact function of RtT is unknown although it is thought that it may be involved in changing the cellular response in relation to amino acid starvation. Lineage: Bacteria; Pseudomonadati; Pseudomonadota; Gammaproteobacteria; Enterobacterales; Enterobacteriaceae. RNAcentral also lists the same sequence under 2 other names. The record is from RNAcentral.
UGUAUCUGAAGUCUGACGAGGAUGAGAACCUCCGGGGGCAAGAGGUUCGACUCGAGCGCAGCGAGAGAACGUUGCUUCAGCAACGGCCCGCAGGGCGAGCCACGCAGUGGCGAGUCAUCCUCUAUCACCGGCAG